Molecule: ribosomal RNA, 477 nt
Filed under: uncultured bacterium
Lineage: Bacteria
Description: partial 16S ribosomal RNA
Rfam family: Bacterial small subunit ribosomal RNA
Source: RNAcentral
GAUUAACGCUGGCGGCGUGCAUAACACAUGCAAGUCGAACGAUGAAACUUAGUCGACUUCUUCGGAAAGACAUUAAGCGGAUUAGUGGCGAACGGGUGAGUAACGCGUGGGUAACCUGCCUUACACAAGGGGAUAGCCUUUGGAAACGAAGAAUAAUACCCUAUCAAACCAUAAAAGCACAUGCUAGAAUGGUCACAGUGAUAGCGGUGUAAGAUGGACUUGCGUCUGAUUAGCUAGUUGGUGAGAUAAAAGCUCACCAAGGCAACGAUCAGUAGCCGGCUUGAGAGAGUGGACGGCCACAUUGGGACUGAGACACGGCCCAGACUCCUACGGGAGGCAGCAGUGGGGAAUUUUGCACAAUGGGGGAAACCCUGAUGCAGCGACGCCGCGUGAUUUAGAAGGCCUUCGGGUUGUAAAAAUCUUUUGUAUAGGAAGAAAAUGACAGUACUAUACGAAUAAGGGCCGGCUAAUUACGUG